RNAcentral lists this ribosomal RNA (161 nucleotides) under uncultured bacterium. RNAcentral's name for it is "partial 16S ribosomal RNA". It matches the Rfam family "Bacterial small subunit ribosomal RNA", at positions 358 to 511 of the family's 1533-position model. The record is from RNAcentral.
GGAAUCUUCCACAAUGGACGAUAGUCUGAUGGAGCAACGCCGCGUGAGUGAAGAAGGGUUUCGGCUCGUAAAACUCUGUUGUUAAAGAAGAACAUAUCUGAGAGUAACUGUUCAGGUAUUGACGGUAUUUAACCAGAAAGCCACGGCUAACUACGUGCCCG